UCACUCCUUCAAGCAGCCCAUAAGGAGAAAUAGAAGACCCACAGAUUGGUGGAAUAGCUGGCAUUUUGCUCAUCAUUUUCCUGACACGAUGAUGGAAAAAUAAAGAGAUCUACUGGCGAGCCUAAGUCCAGCACUCUGCUCCCUGUUUCGACAACAACCGCUAAGCACGGGGUACGAGCGUCUCAUCAGCUCCAAAUAAACUGGGGAGAGAUAAAAGGACUGAAACUUUCAGGAAUGACUAAAGUUAAAGUUUUACCGUUCUUGCAAACGGAGCAAAGAUUACUGAUUACUCUGCUCGGUGGCUGUCCGGUGGGUUUUUUUUCCCCCAACAUAUAAGGGCCGGGAAGUGCUGAAUGGACAGAAGGUUGAAAUCCUCCAGCCUGUCAUGGUGCACGUUUCUUUCUCACCCCGGCCUGGGGUUUUCUACAAGACUCUGCUGGCACUAGAGAGAAGAUACUUGGAACAGCAGAGUUUGCUGAAGAGAAAAACAGCUGCAGAAAUCACCUCAAGACCCUAAUUGAUGGAUUGAACAUCUGGUUUCCAGGAUUCUCCUAAGUCACGGUCCCAAAUAUGGAACCGAACUCCUUUUCAUCUUUUAUGCUAUUUGUUAAGUGCUUACCGUGUGCCAGGCACUAAUAAUAAUAAUAAAACAAUGGUACUUUAA
Molecule: long non-coding RNA, 664 nt
Organism: Ornithorhynchus anatinus (platypus)
Lineage: Eukaryota; Metazoa; Chordata; Mammalia; Monotremata; Ornithorhynchidae
Exons: 2
Source: RefSeq, a predicted model, not a curated record